UUUCUCCUAAGGCUAAAUAACGGCGAGAGACCGAGUUCAUUCGUAGCGAACAAGUACCGUGAGGGAAAGAUGAAAAGUACUUUGAAAAGAGAGUUAAACAGUACGUGAAAUUGUUGAAAGGGAAACGAUUGAAGCCAGUCGUACCAGCGGAUAAUCAGCCUUUAGAUGCGAUUUUAUGGAGCGUGAGGAGCUAAUCGCCUUCAUGUCUGUAUAUUCGUGUACUUUGGGUGUACUUAUUCGUGUGGUAAGUUAACAUCAAUUUUGGUUGUCAUAAAAUGAUUGGAGGAAUGUAGCUUCGAUCUUGCCGUAUUGAAGUAUUAUAGCCUUUGGUAGAUGUGAUGAUCGGGAUUGAGGAUUGCAACGGAUACCCUUCGGGGCUACCUGUCUGAUCUCUGAUUGUUGCUCUGGUGCUGAAAGCUUGCUUAUGGUUAUCAAAGUCGAUGGUCAAUAGGUUAGAAUGGGUUAAAUUCGUUAAGGAUGUUGACGUAAUGGCUUUAAACGACCCGUCUUGAAA
RNAcentral lists this ribosomal RNA (514 nucleotides) under uncultured Glomus. Its description in RNAcentral is "eukaryotic LSU rRNA". It matches the Rfam family "Eukaryotic large subunit ribosomal RNA", at positions 304 to 659 of the family's 3401-position model. Lineage: Eukaryota; Fungi; Glomeromycota; Glomeromycetes; Glomerales; Glomeraceae. The record is from RNAcentral.